GGUUUGUUUUUUUUCAAACUAGUUGCUGUAACAGCUUACCUCAGAAGACCUGCUGGAUGACCAUGACAGGACUGCACAAUCAGUAUCAAAAGUCAUCUGUCCACCUCUCCCUGGUAUAUGCAAUUUCACCUGCACGGGCAUAUGCAGUUUUUACUUUCCAUCGUAGCUACAUCUGAAUUUCAGAGUUAGUGUCACUGAAAGAUUUCACAGAGUGACUGUGGGAGUUGUGACAGUGGAUGCUUUUUGCAUUAUGCUUUUGGUAUGUUUUUCAACCAUUUUAAUGUUUCAUAACUUUAAGGGGUGAAAAAAAAAAAAAAGAGAUGAAAAGAAAAAGCUUUAACUGAUGUUAUCCUGGGUGCUUAGUUCCACAAGUUCUUCUGUAGAGUCUCUAUUCUGGACAAACAGGAAAUCUGGAAUACAUGUACACUCCCUCUGUCAGUCCCAGUGCACUGCAACCUGGACAGCUAUCUCUGCUUUCUAACCCAAACCCUUGAAUGUGAGGUGCAAAUACAAGAUUUAACCCCUUGACUGACCUCUUGAGCCCACCAGGCUCCCACAAGGCUGCUCCUUGUCACACCACACCUUUAAGCACCAAGCAAACAGAUACGCUGGAGGGGAGUUUCCUCAUUCUAAAACUUGCACUUUAUUCAAGUUUCUGAUCUUUUCAUCUCCUUCCAAAGGGGGGAAAAAAGAGAAAAGAUAAAGACAAACAAACAAAACCACAAGCAAAAAAACCUAACCCAAACCCAUCCCUCACUGUUCAGGAAAAGCAGAAAGCACCUAAACAACAGUUCCCUGCUGGUAUGGCAGCUGCUCUCCAGAGUCCCAGGAAAACCCAUCAGCGACACUCACCCUUGGCUAAGGUAAAGAUAAUCAUGAGCACGUUUUCACUCCUGUUAAAUUCCGAAACUUUUAAAAACAUGUCCUAACUUGCCACAUGUAGUCAGGACACAAAUGUAUUUUAACACGUUUGCUGGCAAAUGCACUAAAAUGCAACACACCCCGUCAACAGAGAAAUUGAAAACAUGUUAAUUAAAAGUUUUCACUGACACUUUUUUUCUUUUUUAAAUACACCUUUAUCCUCGUCCAGACAAGCCUUUAAAGAAAGUGAAUCUGAGAGCGGUUUUGGGAGCUGGGAUACAGUAUUUACAGAAAUCCUGAAACAGCGUGUGCUGUGCCUCUCCCCUGGGCUACCUGAGCUCUGAGGAGGCACUGGGAAACCUUUUUGUGUCCUGGGGUGCAUGGAGACCUUUUCUGUGUGCAGGGAGGGCAGCAAGCAAAAUAAUAAAUGGGAAUCAAAGUUUACACCGAGAGAUAAUGUUCCCUAUAUGCCAAUCUACUCCAAAGCCCUUUCUUCUCUUGUACUGCUCAUUAAGAAGAGGUUGUGCAACAUAGGCAUUGGAAAGACAACAUCUUGCUUUCCUAGGAGCUGUUAGGCUGGGAUGCUGAGGGAAUUUCAUUCUUGUUUUAAUUUGUGUAUAUUUUCUGGUAAUGACAUAACAGGACAAUAUGAUCCAAAUAAUGUUUAAACUUUCAAGUUCAAAAACUAAAUUCAGAUUUGUGGAACAAUUGCACCUUUUCCUGUCUCUGAGAAAUGAGCAUUUCAUGGUGUCCUAAUCAGUGCUGAGAUUUCUUACUGACACAUCACUUAAGUUUCUUCAAGCUUUACUACAGUUUGGUGCAAUGCUAUCAGAAGCUUCUAAGCUUUGUAUCACUCACAACCAUUACAAACCCUUUCCUAAUAUUUGCCAAGCUUUUAUUAGCUGAAUACAUUCAACAGUGUUUGUUAAAUAGUAUCCAGACUAUUUGAAUGUCCGGUGUGCUAGGAAACUGAAAACAGAGCUUAUAUGUUUUAAAUAUAUCA
Molecule: long non-coding RNA, 1864 nt
Organism: Pezoporus occidentalis (night parrot)
Lineage: Eukaryota; Metazoa; Chordata; Aves; Psittaciformes; Psittacidae
Exons: 2
Source: RefSeq, a predicted model, not a curated record